Non-coding RNA from Meleagris gallopavo (turkey), 2653 nucleotides. The record is from RefSeq and is a predicted model, not a curated record. NCBI's taxonomy places the organism in Eukaryota, Metazoa, Chordata, Aves, Galliformes, Phasianidae.
GAUUGCUCUCUUGGAGUCUUCUCAGUGAGUCCAGGAUAAGGAGUGGCUAAAAAUACAUUCUCUCUUUUGCCUCGCUGUCUCUAAACAACUUCACCUGUAGAUGAUAACCAUCAUAUAUACAGGGCAAGUCCUGAUGAAAUGAUAUGCCACUAUGAUUUUACUAAUUGUUAUCACUUCAACAACAAAACUAUAUCAUCUUGGUCGUCCCGAAGCUGAAAGCUCUUACAUCCUGACUCAGCUGGGCCUGGUCAAAAUAAGUAUUACCCACCAGUACUCAUGUGAGAGAGCCAGAGGAGUUGUAUGACUACCACUGUUUUCUCAUUUAUGUUAUUGGUGCAUUUCUGAUCUGGAGAUGGGCCAAAGGCGAACUGGAUAAAGCUCUGAGUGAAUUCUUCCCUUUGGUUGUCAGCGUAUGUGAUCUUUGGCAUGGCUACUGAUCCUCUGGACGAGCUGUGAUAACUCUACAUCCUUGCUGGAGAAUGAUGGAAGUCUUCAAGCAGAAGCUGUAACACAUUUACCAAAUGAUGCACUGAAAAGUUAUACUGACUGGGUGAGGAGAGAAUUGUUGGUAGCCAGGUUUCUCUGACUCCAGAACCAAUUAAAUCUUUCCAAUAUGUCCCUCUGUAAUCUUUUUCUACUAGAUACCUUAUAUUAGAGUACAUAUAAUAUACGACUGGAAGAUAAUAGCUUUUCCCAUUUCUUGAAGCUGAAGCAAAAUAGCAGGUGCAGUAAGAUGGACUUUUCUUCUUUCUGCUGGUUGUUUGGGAUGUUUUCUUCCUUUUGUGGCUGACAGCGUACUUCCACAGGAUCAGCAGAGUUUGCGUGCAGCAUUGAUAGCUAAUGCUGAUUCAUGAGAAAGUCAGGUGCUAAUUUUGGAGAAGAAAAGUGAGGCGUUCCCAAGAUACAUACCAGAGCGGAGAAUGAAUGUGCACAGAAAGAAAUUAAAUUUUGAAUUAAAUUGAAAUCCAAGCUUUUGCUUAUUUUCAGAUUCCACCAAUGUCACCACCAUUCAUUCUAAGGACUUCAUAAUUGACACUGCAACUGAAUUUAUACCCUACCUCAUUGGAGUGCUGUUUUCUUCUUCUGAUGCAGUGCAAUCUGAUAAUUUAAAAUCAUACUUCUGUUUUUCCAUUCCUUCUCCCGAGUCAGCAGCUUAACAUCUUGGAUACUGAAAUGCUUAAAUCCUAUUUUUGGCUCAGCAAAUGUUUUAAAGCAUGGCAACAAAAAAGUGGAGCCAACCAAAAGUUUGAAUUCUGUGUUUCGAUUUCAUAAUUUUAAUAUAGAUUAAAAAGGCUAGUCAUUUUCUGAAUAGCUGUGAUUUCAGUUUGCAUAAUUAACACACCUCCAGACCACGUUUAUUUAGUCAGACCAUUCCUGAUUAAAACUAAAAUCUUUGCAUUUACUGAGGCAAAAGCAUCUCUAAAAUCUAGGUGUAUUUUGGACUGUUAUGUUCAGAGAGAGCUUUUCAGCAGAGCAAAGCGUUUCAUUCUCUCUUCUUAAAUUUUCCGGCUGACAUAAUCUCUGUCACUCCAGAAUGAUGAAAAUAACUUCUGACUGAAAAACACAAUUUUUCAAAUGAAAAAUAAGAUUCUGAUUUUUCACCUGCCAGCUGCAAUAUUAAAUGCAGUUAAGAUCAAGAGUGAGAGGACAUUACUAAAGUUAUGUAUCUGCUUUUUAGUGAACACAAUUUAGUGAAGGGGCAAUGGAUUCAGUAUAUCUGUAAAUGGAAUCUUACUUAACUUCACUUUCUUGUUCUGCGUUUGUCAAAAUCUGUAGUGGAAUAGUGAAAAGGUGUACUGAUUCCUGGUAAUGUACUUUAUCCAGCUGGAGGAAGUGGCCACUCUGAGAGCUUAUUUUGUGAUCUUCCAUGAGCACCCAGUUAACGUGUAUUUUGUAAUAUAGUCACAGUAGUAGAAAAGCUAUUGUGACAAUUUUGGGAUUUUUAUUCAAAUUUAUUUUAUUAUGAGUUGAUCCCAUUACAAAUUCUUAUAGUUUUAAGUUCCAUAUAACUUAAUAAAAUGGAGUUCAGUCAGCAAUCUGUGCUCUAGCUUGAAUCCAAGGCACAAAUCAUGUUAUGUUUACAGUUUUGCUGUUGGCUAGAGGAAGACUGGAAAACUUAUGUUCCCAUCAACUAUAUUAUUUUAAUUAAUAUUUUAGACUUAAAAGAUCUGUAAAAGAGAAGACUAUAAGUAAUAGCAUUAUAAAGCACUGCUAAAGCAGCUGGAAAAUAAAAAAAAAAAUGAACUAAUAAAAAAUGAAUAGAGGAUUUGGGAAGUUGUGGUAACUAUUAAGAAUGUUCAUUUUGCAAAAAGAGUGAGAGCUAGGGCAUGUCGACUUUAGGAAGAGAGAGUGACUUAUGAACAGAGUAAGAAGGCGUUCAGAAAAAUGUAUCUCAUCAGGAUGAUCUCAAAGCAUUCAGAAGUCAUUAGAAAGUCACAGUGGGGUUGAAUGAAGCAGGCCUAAAUCUAGAUGUCAGUGCAUUAGUUAUUAGAUAAAAGGGAGAAAAUUUGUCCUUCUCCGCCAGUAAGCACAACAGAGGCACUUUGUGUAGGCCUGUGCCAGGCGAAGUGCUAUGAUCUGUGUAUCUACCGGGCUGCGUGUUGAUGAGAUACAUAACGUGCACCAUCUUUAUCAAGGGCUGAGGUAAACAGAU